GAAUUUUAUAAAAUUAUUUUAAAAAUUAUUUAAUAAUUUUAUUUAAUUGGGAGGAUUUUUAAAUUUAAAUAACUUUAAAUAUAAAUUAAACAUUAAUUUAUGAUAAUUAUAAAUAAAUAAAUAUUAUUUAAAUAAAAAUUAAUUACCUUAGGGAUAACAGCAUAAAAUUUUUUUGUAGUUCUUAUAUAAAAAAAUAUUUGU
This 201-nucleotide ribosomal RNA is filed under the name Odontomachus mayi. Its description in RNAcentral is "partial large subunit ribosomal RNA". The record is from RNAcentral. Lineage: Eukaryota; Metazoa; Arthropoda; Insecta; Hymenoptera; Formicidae.